RNAcentral lists this long non-coding RNA (1885 nucleotides) under Mus pahari (shrew mouse). RNAcentral describes it as "predicted gene 28112 (MGP_PahariEiJ_G0033035.1)". Lineage: Eukaryota; Metazoa; Chordata; Mammalia; Rodentia; Muridae. The record is from RNAcentral.
ACUCUUUGAGAUGGUCCUGUCUCUUUUGCUGCAAUGUUGCUUUGUUGUUUAGUAUUGGGAAUAGUAUUUAUAUCCUUUAAUUAAAUCGUUGUUUCUCUAAUCUGGAAGUAAUUUAUUGCCACAUCUGCAUGGUUGGGGAAGUUGAAGAUGCAUGCUUUUUAAAUUAAAAUUCUAACCUUAAAGCUAUGACCUCACAACAACCAGAUGUAAGGUUUACUUGUAGCCAGUACAAGCACUAAGUUGGAUGUCAGCGGAGGAAGUCAGGCAUAAUGCAGAACUGGCGCUACUCUCAAAAGAGCUUGCAUUUCACCAAGAACCAACAGAGAUGUGGGGAAGGGGAUUGGAUGGAAAGGCAGCUGCUCUGUAGCCUUCUCUGUAGCUAGAAUUUCGGAGUUAAUGUGUAACGGUGCUGGGCAUGAUGAGGUGCAUGGUGAGCUUCGUCCCACAGGAUAGUGCAAGAUUCUACAGAGUUUGCAGCUCAAGAGCAAUCCAUUGAAGUAGAGAUUAUAAAUCAAAAUGUUGUAAAACCGAAUAUUCAGUUAAAACAGUGAAGAGAGAUGUAAAGCAAGAGGCAAAGCCUGUCUGUUUUUUUGCAGCACCAAGGCUUAAGUAUCCAUCCGUAUCUUUUUUUCUUUUUUUUUCUUUCUCAGAAAUCCGUCUGCCUCUGCCUCCCAAGUGCUGGGAUUAAAGAUGUGUGCCACCACUGCUCAGCCUGUCCGUAUCUUUUAGCAUGUACUGUCGCAAGCACCGUCUACACAUAUUUCUCCCUUCCCAGUGAUAGUGCUAACAGAAUUAUGUGGUGUGCACUGACCCAUGACUUGAUAGUUUUUAUUUGGAUUUUUUUCAUGUUUGCCCUUCAUUCUUUCCCUCACAUAUCAGCUAUGUAUUGGAGGUGUACGGACCUGUCCUUCACCGGUAGGUUUAUUUGUUAUUUACCUGAUAUUUGUUGAUGAACAUAUAGGCUGUUUCUAGCUUUCAGAGGGAAUGUCUGUGUCCGCCCUUGUCAGUGGGUGUCCUAUGCCCCAUAGGACAACAUAACUCAGUUCUUUCAGGAUUAUGUACAGUGCCUGCAAGUCCUGGCAGUGACCAUUUUGGUAGAUAAAGCAUAGGAAAUUGUCUUUUAAAAAUAUUAGUGAACAUCACCCCUAACAUUGUGUGAGGUUCUGGGAUUGGUGUUUUGUUUUGUUUUUUUCACUUUGACAACAGCCUGUCUUCUCAGUUUUGGGUUAUCUAAAAGGGAGAAAAUGGUAUGUGUGUAUAUUUAACAUUUUUGAAGUUAUAUACCUAAAUAUCCUUUUACCUUUGUUAGCAAAAGUCUUUGUUUAAUUUUUGCCCCAGAUAAACACUUCUACCUAAUCAUUUAGGACACAUUAUACUUUAAAAUACUCUUAAGAAAUGUCAGAAGAGAAACCAUUUUGGGGAGGGGUAACCCCCCUAUGUAGGGGGCCUGGGCUGUGGACUUGAUUUCAUUUGAAAGUGUCUCAGGGCUGCUGGAGUCUGCAUCACUCUACUGACGUUUGUUGAGUUGUCUAGAAACCCACAGGCUAAGCCUAGCACCCAGGAAAGCUGAACUCCAGCUUUGUCCUUUAUGGCUUCCUCAUGCGGGAACCUUGAGUCUGGUAGACAGCAGAGCCAUUUCAUUGUGUGACAUGUUUUUUACAUGCGCAAAUAUGCAUGGAAGUGUGUUGUAGCAUUUGACUUCCUCUGAGACUCUCCCAAGGGGAACAGUGGUUCUCAAACAGUUGAGAACUAUGCGUACAGGCACAAGUUUGCCCUUGAACACGAAGAGAAUCCUGAGGUAGGGAAAUCCUAUGUGUCCUGCCCCUGUCUCAGAGUGCCAGGCUGAUGGAAUGAUUGGCACACCCCCUUUAUGCUCUGUGCCUGU